This 324-nucleotide unclassified non-coding RNA is filed under the name soil metagenome. RNAcentral describes it as "partial contains 5.8S ribosomal RNA, internal transcribed spacer 2, and large subunit ribosomal RNA". The stretch from base 1 to 120 matches the Rfam family "5.8S ribosomal RNA", at positions 35 to 154 of the family's 154-position model. The record is from RNAcentral.
GAUGAAGAACGCAGCGAAAUGCGAUAAGUAGUGUGAAUUGCAGAAUUCAGUGAAUCAUCGAAUCUUUGAACGCACAUUGCGCCCCUUGGUAUUCCAUGGGGCAUGCCUGUUCGAGCGUCAUUUGUACCUUCAAGCUUUGCUUGGUGUUGGGUGUUUGUCCCUCGGGACUCGCCUUAAAGUCAUUGGCAGCCAGUGUUUUGGUUUUGAAGCGCAGCACAAGUCGCGAUUCAAGGCUAUCCGCCCGCUUCCACAAGCCUUUUUCACUUUUGACCUCGGAUCAGGUAGGGAUACCCGCUGAACUUAAGCAUAUCAAUAAGCGGAGGA